CGAACGCUUUUUCUUUCACCGGAGCUUGCUCCACCGAAAGAAAAAGAGUGGCGAACGGGUGAGUAACACGUGGGUAACCUGCCCAUCANAAGGGGAUAACACUUGGAAACAGGUGCUAAUACCGUAUAACACUAUUUUCCGCAUGGAAGAAAGUUGAAAGGCGCUUUUGCGUCACUGAUGGAUGGACCCGCGGUGCAUUAGCUAGUUGGUGAGGUAACGGCUCACCAAGGCAACGAUGCAUAGCCGACCUGAGAGGGUGAUCGGCCACACUGGGACUGANACACGGCCCAGACUCCUACGGGAGGCAGCAGUAGGGAAUCUUCGGCAAUGGACGAAAGUCUGACCGAGCAACGCCGCGUGAGUGAAGAAGGUUUUCGGAUCGUAAAACUCUGUUGUUAGAGAAGAACAAGGAUGAGAGUAAAAUGUUCAUCCCUUGACGGUAUCUAACCAGAAAGCCACGGCUAACUACGUGCCAGCAGCCGCGGUAAUACGUANGUGGCAAGCGUUGUCCGGAUUUAUUGGGCGUAAAGCGAGCGCAGGCGGUUUCUUAAGUCUGAUGUGAAAGCCCCCGGCUCAACCGGGGAGGGUCAUUGGAAACUGGGAGACUUGAGUGCAGAANAGGAGAGUGGAAUUCCAUGUGUAGCGGUGAAAUGCGUAGAUAUAUGGAGGAACACCANUGGCGAANGCGGCUCUCUGGUCUGUAACUGACGCUGANGCUCGAAAGCGUGGGGAGCGAACAGGAUUAGAUACCCUGGUAGUCCACGCCGUAAACGAUGAGUGCUAAGUGUUGGANGGUUUCCGCCCUUCAGUGCUGCAGCAAACGCAUUAAGCACUCCGCCUGGGGAGUACGACCGCANGGUUGANCUC
This 867-nucleotide ribosomal RNA is filed under the name Enterococcus casseliflavus. Its description in RNAcentral is "bacterial SSU rRNA". It matches the Rfam family "Bacterial small subunit ribosomal RNA", at positions 63 to 902 of the family's 1533-position model. The record is from RNAcentral. Lineage: Bacteria; Bacillati; Bacillota; Bacilli; Lactobacillales; Enterococcaceae.